UGGCGGUUGACGGCAACGU
Molecule: small nuclear RNA, 19 nt
Filed under: Arabidopsis thaliana (thale cress)
Lineage: Eukaryota; Viridiplantae; Streptophyta; Magnoliopsida; Brassicales; Brassicaceae
Description: snRNA_03577
Source: RNAcentral